GCGAAGGUGUGGGCGGGAGCAGCGGUAAUACAGGGUGCCCAAGAGUUGGUCGGAGGUACUGGGCGGAAAGGGUGCGGAGGGGGCGAGGGAAGUCGGAAGUGAAAGCGCGGAGCUCAAAUCCGAAAUUGCAUUGGAAACUACCGUGCUCGAGGGUUGGAGGGGGGACUGGAAUUCUCGGUGUAGCAGUGAAAUGCGUAGAUAUCGAGAGGAACACCAGUGGCGAAGGCGAGUCCCUGGACAACUCCUGACACUGAGGCACGAAAGCUAGGGGAGCAAACAGGAUUAGAUACCCGAGUAGUC
RNAcentral lists this ribosomal RNA (300 nucleotides) under uncultured Thermus sp. Its description in RNAcentral is "bacterial SSU rRNA". It matches the Rfam family "Bacterial small subunit ribosomal RNA", at positions 496 to 795 of the family's 1533-position model. Lineage: Bacteria; Thermotogati; Deinococcota; Deinococci; Thermales; Thermaceae. The record is from RNAcentral.